RNAcentral lists this ribosomal RNA (492 nucleotides) under uncultured bacterium. RNAcentral describes it as "partial 16S ribosomal RNA". It matches the Rfam family "Bacterial small subunit ribosomal RNA", at positions 29 to 507 of the family's 1533-position model. The record is from RNAcentral.
AGUGAACGCUGGCGGUAGGCCUAACACAUGCAAGUCGAACGGCAGCACAGUAAGAGCUUGCUCUUACGGGUGGCGAGUGGCGGACGGGUGAGGAAUACAUCGGAAUCUACUUUUUCGUGGGGGAUAACGUAGGGAAACUUACGCUAAUACCGCAUACGACCUACGGGUGAAAGCAGGGGAUCUUCGGACCUUGCGCGAUUGAAUGAGCCGAUGUCGGAUUAGCUAGUUGGCUGGGUAAAGGCCCACCAAGGCGACGAUCCGUAGCUGGUCUGAGAGGAUGAUCAGCCACACUGGAACUGAGACACGGUCCAGACUCCUACGGGAGGCAGCAGUGGGGAAUCUUGGACAAUGGGCGCAAGCCUGAUCCAGCCAUACCGCGUGGGUGAAGAAGGCCUUCGGGUUGUAAAGCCCUUUUGUUGGGAAAGAAAAGCAGCAGGUUAAUACCCCGCUGUUCUGACGGUACCCAAAGAAUAAGCACCGGCUAACUUCGUG